GGUAAAAUGGCUGAGUAAAGCAUUAGACUGUAAAUCUAAGGACAGAGGUGGAACCUCUUUUUGCCA
RNAcentral lists this transfer RNA (66 nucleotides) under Hylobates lar (common gibbon). RNAcentral describes it as "transfer RNA-Tyr". It matches the Rfam family "tRNA". From Rfam's summary of the family: Transfer RNA (tRNA) molecules are approximately 80 nucleotides in length. Their secondary structure includes four short double-helical elements and three loops (D, anti-codon, and T loops). RNAcentral also lists the same sequence under 1 other name. Lineage: Eukaryota; Metazoa; Chordata; Mammalia; Primates; Hylobatidae. The record is from RNAcentral.